CCUACGGGAGGCAGCAGUGGGGAAUAUUGCGCAAUGGGCGAAAGCCUGAUGCAGCGACGCCGCGUGAGUGAUGAAGGUCUUCGGAUCGUAAAGCUCUGUCAGCAGGGAAGAACGGUCACUGUGCUAAACAGCAGUGCAUUGACGGUACCCGCAAAGGCAGCACCGGCUAACACCGUGCCAGCAGCCGCGGUAAUACGGAGGGUGCGAGCGUUAAUCGGAAUUACUGGUCGUAAAGCGCACGUAGGCGGUAUGUCAAGUCAAGGGUGAAAGCCCCGGGCUCAACGUGGGAACUGCCUUUGAAACUGGCAAACUGGAGUGUAGGAGGGGAUAGUGGAAUUCCAGGUGUAGGGGUGAAAUGCGUAGAUAUCAGGAGGAACAUCGGUGGCGAAGGCGACUAGCUGGAACAUGACUGACGCUGAGGCGCGAAAGCGUGGGUAGCAAACAGGAUUAGAUACCCGAGUAGUC
RNAcentral lists this ribosomal RNA (465 nucleotides) under uncultured bacterium. RNAcentral's name for it is "partial 16S ribosomal RNA". It matches the Rfam family "Bacterial small subunit ribosomal RNA", at positions 338 to 795 of the family's 1533-position model. The record is from RNAcentral.